RNAcentral lists this long non-coding RNA (6356 nucleotides) under Homo sapiens (human). RNAcentral describes it as "non-protein coding lnc-IRS1-2:3". Lineage: Eukaryota; Metazoa; Chordata; Mammalia; Primates; Hominidae. The record is from RNAcentral.
ACAUUUUGCUCUCUUUAGGAAAAGACAACAUUGAUUUUAGAGGUUUUUGUUAUGGAGGCCAGGGGGAUUUUUCCAGUGCAGCACAGAGAAAUCUGGGUUUGGAUUGGGAAGCCAGACAUUUCUUGGCUUACAUUUCCUACUUGAAUGGGAUUCGUUUGCCCCCUCCUCACCUCUCCCCAACCCCCAGGCAGCUAGAAGCCCCACCUCCUUGCUUGGACCAUAUGGGGAAGCUGGCUCGGUGGCUGUUAUUCUACUGACUCCAAGUUCACGCAGCUGUUCAUCCCCUGCUUAAUGUACUGGGUUCAACAGAUGGCUAAGGUUGAUGUUUCUGCUCGAGAGUCAUCUUCAUGGAUUUGCAGAAGACCCCACUCCUGAAAUCCCUUUCACCUGGGCCGAUGCAUCUAAUUAUGAUGGUAGAUUGAAAGCUUUUCAGCUCCCAGGGACACAGCAUUCAUUUCCAUCUUCUCCUGUGGGGAUCCCUGGCCCAUCUAGUUGGAUUUCUUAGAAGGACUUAAGGGCUCUACAUUGGUUCUCUCUCCCACAUAAAACAAGGAAGGGAGCAUAUUUGCUCCUUUAUUCCAGCACUCUGAAGUGCAGGCAGGCCCUCCCCAAGGCAGUGACCCCUACCCCUCUACCUGAAGCCACUAUGCCUUUGGCAGUCAUGAGUCAAGCUGAGCCCAUAUUUCCCACACAUUCCAUGGCCCUCUGAAUCAUUACGUAGUCACUCCUCACUAGACUUGGGAUGGAAUGGGGUACCACUACCUGUGGAAGAAGAAUGACACCAUGGCCAGUAACAGCUCUCUCCCAAGGCAUCUCUCCACUGUGCUCUCUUUCCCUCUCCUCUGUAAAUACUUUUAUAGCCUUGAAAAAAAGGAGGAGACAUAAGAAUUAUGCAAUAGUUUUUUUUUAACCUUUGUAAAAUCUGUUUAUAGUAAACUCUCUCAUACACAUCUUGUUAUCUGAUGUUAAUUAUUGGAACCUCAUUCAAAGCUAUGUUAGAAAGAGCCCCAUUUAAGCUUCUCUUAAAUUUAUAAAAGAAAAUUGUUCAUAAAUUAAAUUAUAAGGAAAAGAAAGUUGAUUUUCUAUAUUCUUCCAUGUUUGAUCUUUCCACAUGGUCAUGGAAACCACCUCACGCCUCUUAAUUUUUUAGUUCUUUUGACAGAAAACACAGAAACUAUGGUUCCCAACACCAUAGGGCAGUACUACCACAGUCUCCACCACCUCAAGCAAUAGACUUUCCAACCUCUUCUCUCCAUUAAACUUCUCUAUUACCAGACUCUUACUAAAUUAUCUUACUAAAGAUAGUUUUUGAAUGUCUCUCUUGUGCUAAGAAUUGUAGAGUUCUGGUGGCAGAAGAUGACAGAGAGUUUUUUUUCUUUUUGUCCUAGAAGAAUUUAUAGUUUAUUCUAGUUCUUUCCAUUGGAAUCUGAAACAAUAUACAAAAACAGUGCAAUAGUUUUUUUCAAUACAUUUUGAUCAAUGUGGAAAUACAUUUUUGUAACAGUUGAGGAUUCAUACUGUAUAUUAUAACGUUGGUCAGAAUAACUGAGUCUGAUGAUUGAGUUGGGAGACGCAUGGUGGGGCACGGAAGAAUGUGCCCCUUUAGGUCAGAGGUAAGCUGGUGCCACCAAAAGGAACUUUGUUUAUCACAAUCCACUAGAACUUUUAAUUUCUUUGUGUUUGUAUUUUCUUUCAUAGGACAAGGUCAGGGAAAUAAGCAUUUCUACUCAAACUCCCAAAUAGUACUGAAAGAAUACCAAAUGAAUAGGACUAUAAUGGUAUAUUUUAAACAUUUUUUUCAAAAGAAUUGGCAUUUACCUUUUAACUCCUUCAAUGUCACCCUAAGCUCUAGUGCUAGUAACUCAGAAAAUUUAACAACCACUGAUCCAUUCACUAUUAAAGAAAAUGUUAUAAACUCAUUUGGACUGAGGUGUUAAUUGUUAUUUUUAAGGUUAAUGGUUAUUAGUUGUUCUUGAUCUUCUAGGAUAACAUUUGCAUUUUAGGCUUUAAAAAAAAUCCCAAAUGUCCUUAAACCUGAAGGACUUGGUUAGAUAAAUAUUUUGGGGAAUGAUGGCAAAGCCUGCUGUGGCAAUUUUUUGAUAGGGUGAAUACCAGUACUGGCUGAUCCUCCCACUCAAGAAACACACUUAAAUCCAGUGUUGGCUUUGGGAAUGCUGAGAAAACAUUGGCUUUGGGAAUAGAGAAAGAAAACAUCAGUAGAAAAAUGAAAAACAGAAGUGAUUUGAAGGACAGCUUUAGGCUUCACCAUAUUCUGUACCCAUUAAAUAACUCCCCAUUUUUCCCUACUCCCAGUCCCUGACAACCACCAUUUUAAUUUCUAUUUUUAUGAAUUUGACUAAUCUAGAUAACUUCAUGUAAUUAAAAUCAUACAACUUUUACCUUUUUGUGAUUGUCUUAUUUUAUUUAGCAUAAUGUCAUUAAGAUAUAUCCAUGUUUAACCCAUGCCAGAAUUUUCUUCCUUUUUAAGGCUGAAUAGUAUUUCGUUAUGUGUAUACACCACAUUUUGUUUAUUCAUUCAGCUAUGGAUAGAAACUUGGGUUGCUUUUAUUUUUCGCUAUUGUAGACAGUGCUGCCGUGAGCAUGGGUAUGCAAAUAUCUCUUCAGGAUCCUGCUUUCAAUUCUUCUGGAUAAAUAUAAAGAAGUGAGAUUGCUGGAUCACAUGACAAUUCUACUUUUUAUUUUUUGAGGAACUUCCAUACUGUUUUUCACAGUGUCUGCACAAUUUUACAUUCCCACCAACAGUGUACAAAGGUGUCAAUUUCUCUGCAUCCUCACCAGCACUGGUUAUUUUCUGGGUUUUUUUUUUUUUCUUUUUGAUAGUUGCCAUUUUCAUGGGUGGGAGUGAUAUCUCAUUGUGGUUUAGAUUUGCAUUUCUCUAAUGAUUAAUGAUGUUGAGUAUCUUUUCAUAUGUUUGUUGAUCAUUUGCAUAUCCUCUUUGGAGAAAUGUUUAUUCUUUUGCCCAUUUUAAAAUCAAGUUUCAAUGCUUCCUGCUAUUUAUUUUAAAUGUGCUUUACAAGUUAGAACUUGUGAAUUUUGACCAGCAUGAUGUAAUGCCACUCAGCAUGGCUUUUCAGGCUGGUGUCGGGCUGGUAGAAGGAUGAGUUAGAAUGAGCAAGGCCAAAACUCAGAGUUCAGACAGGGGCAGGGGAAGAUAGAUAGUCCAGAGAGAAUCAUUCCUUUCUUCCUUCAUGCAAACACACGUGCAAAUAGCAAGGAUUUGUUCCAUGCUGCCAUGUGCUAGGCACUGAGCUAGAGAUAUGAAAAGGGACACAAAGUGGGACAGGAUACCUUUGGGGUUUGGAAGGUAGAAUCUGCACUUAGACUGCUUGGGUGUGAAUUUUAGCUGCAGUAUCUGCAGCGUGUGGACAUAUUUUGACUGGGUUACAUCAUAAAGAGCUUUUAUCUCAUGCUAAGGGCUUACUUGUAAAGCUGUAAGACUGGGACCCAUUGAAGGGUUUUAGGUAUUACAAGCUUCAAAGAAAAACAAAUGAAAUAAUCUAAACUUUUAAGGAAACUAUCAUAGAAAGACAGAUUUAGAAAACAGAAAGGGGAAUAAAAUCCCCCUAAAAGCAAGGGCUGUAAUGGACACAAUUAAAUGCUAGGGUCUUGGUUCUAUAGUUCUAUAGUUGACUAGUUAUAUGACCUGACAAAGUCAUUUUAACUCUCUGGCCCAAGGUUUUCUUAUAUAUAAAACAGGGAUAAUGCCUUACAAAACUUAAAAAAAAUAAUUAACUAAGAAGAUGUACUCAAAAGUGUAUUGCAAGGGUUUCUUUUUUAAUUUUUCUUUCUUUUUUUUUUUUUUUUUUUUUUGGCACACAGGAGCAGUAUGCUGUGUUUUAAAGGACAUUUUAAAAAUUGGCUUGGUUUCCUCUACUCACACCAUUUUAGCCCCCGCAUUUGGGGCUAUUUCACCCUCAUUUGCAAGCUUAGACCCGAGCCAGGGUCUGAGAUUCAUCAGGCUCCAACCCAUGCCAGUUUAGUUUUUUUCUGAUGUUUUUCUUUUUUUUCCCCCCAGAAAUUUGGCUAUUAUACUUUAAAAAAAAAAAAAAAUCUUGCUUAGACUGUUUGCUCCCCUAUUUUCUUCUUCCCUUUCCCCUCAGCAUCAUGUAUUGGAAAAAAGGUGAAAGUCUGGAUUAAUGAAUCCAAAAAUUAAUGUUACCUUGUAUUUUUACCUGUAUUGUUACUUGUAUUUUUCUAAGGCACCAUAAUCACACUACAAAGAGGUGAAGACACACAACACUACAGUGAAGGAUAGAAUGCUAGUUCCAGUUUGAUUUUCAUUAUUUUUCAAGAUUUUCUUUGGCGCUGAGUAUUCUGUUGAAAAUUUUUUUACACUGAAAUAUCAGGAGAUAGAGUUUUAGGAGAAUACACAACCAGGUGUAUGCCCUGGACAGUCUAUCUCAGAAACACAAAUGUUUUGUUCUUUCCAGAAGGGAAAGAAGAGAGCAGCAACUGGCCACCUGGCACUCCUGCAACUCCUCUCUGAUCAGGAAGGAAACUGCCUGGGCUCCUGUGGAAAAUUAGCUUAUUCUCAUGGCUUUGGAAUAUGUUUCUCCAUUCAUUAAGAAUAUCUUUCUAUCAGAAUGGGCUAGGGGAGAAGCAAGAGAGAAAUUUACUUUUUGAUCUAGAGAUCAAAAACUGAAAAGCCUUUGUUUGUUUGUUUGUUUUUAUAAGAAAGAAUAGCAGAACAGAAUUAGAAUGUAGAUUUGAAGAAACAUAAGGAAAAAUAAAUCCAUGAUUAUGUGAAUUGAUUAAUGUAUUGUGUGUUUCUUUGACUAUUUUAAUUAUUAAUAUAUAAAUAUAAAUCAGGCUGCGGAAGACUAGGAGGAAGAUUAUGUGCUUCCUGAUCAAAUUAUAGCCCCAGCACAUGGCACAGUGGCUAUAGUAGAUAUUCAAUAAACACUUGUUAAAUGAAAGAAGGUAAGGAGAAGGAAGAAAGGAAUGAAAUACAUAGGGAAGGCGAAAAGGAGGGAGUGAUCAAAGAAGGCAAGAAGGAACAUAUACAACUGACGUGUGAUUUCUCUGUUGAAACUGACAAGGGUACAAUUGCAUUAUUUACCUUGUUCAAUAAAAUAAAUCUGAAGAUUUUCACAAACAAUGUUGUGGAGUGAGCAUUCCAUAUUCUUAUCUAUAAUAAACAACAGGGAUGAAGUGAACAUUUGAGGGAGAACCUUGGUAAUGAAUUAUUAGAUAAAUUAUUUCAUGCAGUUUCCAUUCACUUUUCAAAAACAAAGAGAUUGGAUUAGAAUCAUCCAUUCACAUUGACAUUCAUCAAUAAAGUUAUAGAUGACUCAGCAAUUAUCUAACCCAAAGCCUUAAUUGAAGAUGCAGCUGUCUGGAAAUAUUCUCCCCCGCUACUUCCAAAAUACCUCCUUUAAAUUUGAAUUGUGGAAUGUUUCUUUAUUGGAAAAAUAAGAGCUAACAUUUAUUCAGUGUUGACAAUGUGGUGUGAACACCUAUUCUAAUCACAUAGACACACACACAUAAAAUCCUUUAAUUUUCACUAGAACUCAAGAUAUGAUAGAUAUUAUCAUAGAGCCCAGUUUUACAGAUGAAGAAACUGAAGAAUGGAGAGGUUAAGUAACCUGCUUAGUAGAAGCAGAAUUCAAGUUCAGACCAACUGACUCCAGAGGCUGUGCUUAUAUCUACUGUGUCUCAUUGUACUUUCUGCUUAUAUUUUAAGUCUUUAUGUGCAUGGUUUGUUUUUGCUUCUAGUACAGUGGUUCUCAACUAGGGGAUUGUUAGCAAAUCUGGAGAUAUUUUUGAGGUGCAAGAAAUGUGGUGGAACAUUCUAGAAUGCACAGGACAGUGUACCACAACAAAGAAUUAUCUAGCCAGAGGUUGAGAAACCUUGUUGCAGAGUAUUAGACACUAAAGGACAAGAAUUAUGCCUUACUUACAUUUGUAUAGCAUUUGGAACAGAGUUGGCUGAAAAUUAAUAUUUGUCCAUGAAAAACUUAAGUUACCUAGUCUGUUAAAAGGAAGGAGUUUUACAUAAUAAUCAAUAAGGUACUACUGAACUCUAACUCAGCAAAUUAAUGUCUGUGUCCUGGAAACAUACAGUUUACCUAUUGAGGCCAAGGUACUGGUUUUUCCUGCCUCUUAACUGUAUGAUGCUAUGUUAUGAAAUUAUAUAGAUUAAAAGCAAAAGAGUAUAGGUGAGUAUCAUUAGAAAAAAAGGUAAGUAAGCAUACAAAAUAUAGUUUUUAUUUAAUGAAUAUGAGAAACAGAUGGAAAAGUGAUAUUACUCACCUUAAGAAUUUACCAGCUGCAAGGAAAGUAUAAUUUAUACAAAAUUUUGGAAUGAAUGAGUUUUAUACCUAACAUCAUUAGGC